This 1260-nucleotide long non-coding RNA is filed under the name Felis catus (domestic cat). RNAcentral describes it as "lncRNA (ENSFCAG00000051987.1)". Lineage: Eukaryota; Metazoa; Chordata; Mammalia; Carnivora; Felidae. The record is from RNAcentral.
CCCCCUGGAGCCUGGGCGCAGCUGGGUCUCAGGUUGCCUGCCCCGGUCACCCUCAGCAGGGGUGACAGCACCUUCAUGGUGCCUGUGUCCGUGUAGGUGCACGCACUCUGACCCGUGCAGCUGGGUGGCACGUGGGUGAGGAUGUGCCUGGAGGGUGGCAUGGGCACAGGAAAUGCCUGUACCUGCGGCCAGAAAUCACUUGUGGAUUGUGAAUUGUGAAUCCCUCGGGAGGAACGUCCAGGCAACUGGAUUUCAAAGACUCGGCAGAGGGACUAGUGCGGGCAUCCGGGGAGGAAGAGGAGGAGGCGGCUAGGGGAAUGCCCACUGGGCCUAGUCUUUGGGGCCGAGGCCUGGCGACUGGGUUCACAGUGAUCCCCCUCCCUGGGGAUAGCGGGCGGGGUACAGAGAGGAAGAGACUGUCGUCAGAGGCCCUUGUGGUUGAGGACAGGGGUUUUAGAGCUGACAGACCUGGGUUCAAAUCCUAGGUAUGGAUCACGGGCCAGUGCUUUCAUUUCUGUGAGCCUCAGGUCCCUGGUGUAUAAAAUAGGGAGCAGGGUAGAGCCUACUUCCUAGGGGUUUCUGGGAGUUAAGCCCCUUGGCAAGGACUAGGCAUUAUUGUUGAUAUUAUUGGUAGCAGCCCAGCAGAAGAGAGGGAGAGGGCCUCUGCAGGUGCUGGUGUUUUGUAAACUGUAAAAGGGAGCUCUGAGAAACGAAAACUGUGGAGCCACGGUUAGCUAAAGCUGCCAUGAGGAGCGCCAUUUUGGUCCAAGAUGGGAGGGCCGUUGUCCCAGGGAGUGAGGCAGAGGAGUUAGGCUUUCGGAACGCCUACCAGUUUCCCUUCCUGGUUCCCCUCACUUCCUCCAGAUUUUCCUUCCCGGUUACAGAGCCUGUCUGGCAAGAAGACCUCCGGGGGCUUCCUCUCCGCUGCUGGUCGCCGGCUGAGCGCCCCUUUGGGGACCGUGAGGAGCAGCUGCGGGAUCAGGGGGCCGAGGCUCCAGAGGCCAGGUCUGAGCAGGACUUGGGAGUUAUACCAUCCUAGAUGUAGGCACAAGGCCCUGGUCCUCUGCUAACUAGCUCUGGGGUCUUAUGCAAGUUUCUCGGCUUCUCUGAGCUUCCGUGUCUUCAUCUGUCAGACGGAAAGAGGAAAAUCACGACGACCUUCAGGGUACUUGGAGGAUUAGGUGAGCGUCUACGUGUUAAGUCCUGAGCUCAGGGCCUGGUUCACAGUAAGUGCUCAAUAAAUGCUCAUGGACGUAAGCA